GGAGGUGAGGGCCAUAUGACUGUGACACAUCCAUGGAUUGCCAGGGUUAACUCAGCUCAUCUGAUUGGCAAGGCAAGUGCCUCUUCUCCUACUGCUUCAUGUGCGUCCCCCACCAAAUUGAGUGCUAGACAGUAGAAACUGCGCCCCCGCCCCUGCCUUACUAGAAUAUCCAAACAAAUUCUCAAGAAUUAUUUAUUUGAGACUUUUGUGUGGCCGCUCUGCUGCUGAU
Molecule: small nuclear RNA, 229 nt
Filed under: Sorex araneus (European shrew)
Lineage: Eukaryota; Metazoa; Chordata; Mammalia; Eulipotyphla; Soricidae
Description: 7SK RNA (ENSSARG00000019688.1)
Rfam family: 7SK RNA
About the family: 7SK was discovered as an abundant small nuclear RNA in the mid-70s but a possible function has only recently been suggested. Two independent studies have found that 7SK RNA binds the CDK9/cyclin T complex (known as elongation factor P-TEFb).
Source: RNAcentral